Molecule: ribosomal RNA, 253 nt
Filed under: uncultured bacterium
Lineage: Bacteria
Description: partial 16S ribosomal RNA
Rfam family: Bacterial small subunit ribosomal RNA
Source: RNAcentral
GACGUAGGGCGCGAGCGUUGUCCGGAUUUAUUGGGCGUAAAGAGCUCGUAGGCGGCUUGUCGCGUCGACCGUGAAAACUCGCAGCUCAACUGCGAGCCUGCGGUCGAUACGGGCAGGCUAGAGUUCGGUAGGGGAGACUGGAAUUCCUGGUGUAGCGGUGAAAUGCGCAGAUAUCAGGAGGAACACCGAUAGCGAAGGCAGCUCGCUGGGACGGUACUGACGCUAAGGCGCGAAAGCGUGGGGAGCGAACAGG